GCGUUGGCCGUAAGGUCGAUGGCAGGCUAAACCCCGCAUGGAGCAAGACCAAAUAGGGAGGCGUCAUUAGGGCUGCUCGCUCGAGGCUUCCGGGUAGGUCGCAUGACUUUGCCAGCAAUGGCAGGGCUAGAGGAAUGGUCGCCGCCGUACGGCAUGAGCAAUCGUGUCGGAUGGUACAGAAUUCGGCUUACAGUCCGACUGCGACG
RNAcentral lists this RNase P RNA (206 nucleotides) under Acidobacteriota bacterium. RNAcentral's name for it is "Acidobacteria bacterium (marine metagenome) partial RNase P RNA component class A". It matches the Rfam family "Bacterial RNase P class A", at positions 180 to 367 of the family's 367-position model. Rfam says of the family: Ribonuclease P (RNase P) is a ubiquitous endoribonuclease, found in archaea, bacteria and eukarya as well as chloroplasts and mitochondria. Its best characterised activity is the generation of mature 5'-ends of tRNAs by cleaving the 5'-leader elements of precursor-tRNAs. The record is from RNAcentral. Lineage: Bacteria; Pseudomonadati; Acidobacteriota.